GAAAGAACAGAAACUCUUUGUCAUUCCUGCGUGAAUACAGUCUGUGUCAGUCUGUGUUUAAGAACAAGACACAAGAUAUGCUUCAAAUCAUUUAAAAUCGCAGCCCUAAACGCCAACAAUGGAGUCCCAGGUCCGCCAGAACUACAGCCGGGAGUGCGAGGCCGCCAUCAACCGCAUGAUCAACAUGGAGUUUUACGCCUCCUACACCUACCAGUCCAUGGUGAGUAUCCUGCCUGGGGCCGGGAGUUACAGGACUGUUACAGGACCCGGUGCGGGUCCCAGGACCGGAUCUCGCAAGCUGGCCUGUUUUCGGUAGCGAGUAACAGCCCCCCGGGUCUGUUUCGGCUGGCGAGGGCUGUCAAGAGGCUCUUGAGCCGGGUCCGGUCCGGUCGGGGAGGGCAGGGGGGGUGGUUUAUUCCGCUGUGCGCCCCUGUGCUCUGUGGGGCUGCACUGGCGUCGCCUAGACGAGAUCAGUAACGCACACGGGGACGAAGUCCGCUGAAUCGCCGUAAAUCUCCACUUCUGCGCUGAGCAGUGCGCGGCACGACCGGGACUCGAUGAGCUCACUCGUCCUAAUGACUGUUAUCAGUGGUGUUCAGGGCGCCACUGGCCCUGCCUCUGUAUCGGGGGUGUCCAGCCAGGCUGGGGAGAGACACACCCCUCUCCUCUCCAGCGCAGGUCGGGGAGACGAGACUCGCGAUCAAGCUGGCCUCUGGAGGACUUUGUCCCCGCAGGUGUGAUGACAGAGCAGCUCCUCUCUGAUCCCAGUGGGACUGUAGCCAGGGCUUGAGCGCUCGCUUACACACACACACAGCGCAUCUCAGCUGUGUGAACACAGGGGCACGGAGCUCUACAGAGGACAGAGGGGGCGUCGGUCUGGGGCUGUUCUGUCUGCUGUUGCUCUGUCGACCUCGCACCCUGACUGAGCUCUGUCCCAACAGCAGCCCUGUGCCUCUUGUUGUGUCUAACCACAGAUUACAGGCUCUGGGGUUUGU
This 995-nucleotide long non-coding RNA is filed under the name Lepisosteus oculatus (spotted gar). RNAcentral's name for it is "lncRNA (ENSLOCG00000022438.1)". Lineage: Eukaryota; Metazoa; Chordata; Actinopteri; Semionotiformes; Lepisosteidae. The record is from RNAcentral.